Molecule: ribosomal RNA, 453 nt
Filed under: uncultured organism
Description: partial 16S ribosomal RNA
Rfam family: Bacterial small subunit ribosomal RNA
Source: RNAcentral
CGUACACUCCUGCGGGAGGCAGCAGUGGGGAAUAUUGGACAAUGGGCGCAAGCCUGAUCCAGCCAUGCCGCGUGAGUGAUGAAGGCCCUAGGGUUGUAAAGCUCUUUCACCGGUGAAGAUAAUGACGGUAACCGGAGAAGAAGCCCCGGCUAACUUCGUGCCAGCAGCCGCGGUAAUACGAAGGGGGCUAGCGUUGUUCGGAUUUACUGGGCGUAAAGCGCACGUAGGCGGACUAUUAAGUCAGGGGUGAAAUCCCGGGGCUCAACCCCGGAACUGCCUUUGAUACUGGUAGUCUUGAGUUCGAGAGAGGUGAGUGGAAUUCCGAGUGUAGAGGUGAAAUUCGUAGAUAUUCGGAGGAACACCAGUGGCGAAGGCGGCUCACUGGCUCGAUACUGACGCUGAGGUGCGAAAGCGUGGGGAGCAAACAGGAUUAGAAACCCCGGUAGUCCCAUG